This is a long non-coding RNA of Onychostoma macrolepis, 1334 nucleotides long. RefSeq lists it as uncharacterized. The transcript has 3 exons. Lineage: Eukaryota; Metazoa; Chordata; Actinopteri; Cypriniformes; Cyprinidae. The record is from RefSeq and is a predicted model, not a curated record.
AAUCGUCAUUGUGCAAUGUCUAUAUGUCAGUAGAUGGUUGUAGUCAAUAAAGUCUUAGUUCCGGAGUUCCACGUUGUGGCGAGUGGGGCGGGGCUGAGAGCCGUGGGAACAGAGCGAGGCCGGUGGAGUUAAUGAUAAUGAGCGACACCUGCGCCACUCACCGGUCUCGAGUCCCACGGAGGAGCUCCGGAAGGAUAAAAGGAGGAGUGACGACAGUGGAAGACGAGAGAGGACCAGGCCUGGACUUUUAUUUUGUAUUUUAUGUGCGGCAGUCGUCCGUGAGGGGCUGCCGCUUUACUUUGAUGUUUGUUUAUUUUAUUAAAAACUGUUCGCCGGUUCCCGCCUCCUUCCUUCCAUUCCACGAACCGUACUACACACGUCUCCUCGUUUCCCUGGCUCCGAUGAUACGUGACAUUUGCAGUACGUUGAGCUCUCUCAGCCACCGUACCAAACAGCUCAUAAAAACAUCACAAUAAACCACAGUUUAUCAAUUAAUAUUUUGUGAGGUGAAAAUGUUUGUGACAUUUAAAACUUUAAACUGUUGCUUCCAGCUAAAAUAUGAGACUUCUUUCCACAAUAUUUUUUUUUUCAGUGAAAAGGUCAUCUUAUCUGAAUCAGGAGAGAAAUAUGCCCAGAUCAAGCACUGUUUAUAAGUGCAAACAGCCCAAUACAGUCCUAAAUAUGUCAGUGGAUUUUGAUGUGGGAAGAAAACAGGGGAUGGACUUUUUCACUGGAGGAAGCAUUAUUAUAGAUUAUGAACUCAUAUUUUGGCCAAAAGCAAUUGUUUAAAAUUAAAAUGUCUGAAUGAUUUGUUUCUUACAAACACACAGAUUUUUUUCUUCACAAGAUGUUAAUUGAUGGACUGGAUUACUGUGAUGUUUUUAUCAGGAUUUUGGUCGCUGAUUCUGACGGCACCCAUUCACUGCAGAGGAUCCAAUGGUGAACAAGUGAUGUAAUGUUAAAUUUCUCCAAAUCUGUUCUGAUAAAGAAAGAAAAUACUCUACAUCUUGGAUGACCAGAGGAACCGUGAGUGAUAGAAGGAAAAGGGGAAUGAAUUUGGCAAGGAUUGUUCUGAGAUAAGAAUACGAAAGAGUCAAAUUAAGAAGAGGCAAAAUUACAUAAGGAGAAAGGUGGGAAAAUACUUAGAGGUGAUUUUCAACUAGACAGUUUGAGUCCAAGAGAGGAGAAUGAUGGGAACUGACCCAUCACCAUCACCUGCCCACUUGCCACAGAUUCCCGGUAAGAGGAUCUGGCAACCACACGCACAUCAUCAGACACCUGCGCUCACACUUUUACACUCAUGCUCACAUUUGGCCUCGCGCUUAUUCUCAUGC